GGGAAUAUUGGACAAUGGGGGCAACCCUGAUCCAGCAAUGCCGCGUGUGUGAUGAAGGCCUUAGGGUUGUAAAAUUCUUUCGCUAGGGAUGAUAAUGACAGUACCUAGUAAAGAAGCCCCGGCUAACUUCGUGCCAGCAGCCGCGGUAAUACGAAGGGGGCUAGCGUUGUUCGGAAUUACUGGGCGUAAAGCGCACGUAGGCGGACUUUUAAGUCAGAUGUGAAAUCCCGGGGCUCAACCUCGGAACUGCAUUUGAAACUGGAAGUCUAGAGACCAGGAGAGGUUAGCGGAAUACCGAGUGUAGAGGUGAAAUUCGUAGAUAUUGGGAAGAAUACCAGUGGCGAAGGCGGCUUACUGGUCCGAUACUGACGCUGAGGUGCGAAAGCGUGGGGAGC
RNAcentral lists this ribosomal RNA (395 nucleotides) under Prasinoderma singulare. RNAcentral's name for it is "partial Bacterial small subunit ribosomal RNA". It matches the Rfam family "Bacterial small subunit ribosomal RNA", at positions 357 to 769 of the family's 1533-position model. The record is from RNAcentral. Lineage: Eukaryota; Viridiplantae; Prasinodermophyta; Prasinodermophyceae; Prasinodermales; Prasinodermaceae.